CAGUAGCCGCGGGAAUACGUAGGUGGCAAGCGUUGUCCGGAAUUAUUGGGCGUAAAGGGCUCGCAGGCGGUUUCUUAAGUCUGAUGUGAAAGCCCCCGGCUCAACCGGGGAGGGUCAUUGGAAACUGGGAGACUUGAGUGCAGAAGAGGAGAGUGGAAUUCCACGUGUAGUGGUGAAAUGCGUAGAGAUGUGGAGGAACACCAGUGGCGAAGGCGACUCUCUGGUCUGUAACUGACGCUGAGGAGCGAAAGCGUGGGGAGCGAACAGGAUUAGAUACCCGCGUAGUCCCUGUCUCUUAUAC
RNAcentral lists this ribosomal RNA (301 nucleotides) under uncultured bacterium. RNAcentral describes it as "partial 16S ribosomal RNA". It matches the Rfam family "Bacterial small subunit ribosomal RNA", at positions 509 to 807 of the family's 1533-position model. The record is from RNAcentral.